Molecule: non-coding RNA, 69 nt
Filed under: Prochlorococcus marinus str. MIT 9312
Lineage: Bacteria; Bacillati; Cyanobacteriota; Cyanophyceae; Synechococcales; Prochlorococcaceae
Description: Cyano-1 RNA
Rfam family: Cyano-1 RNA
Source: Rfam by way of RNAcentral
CAAGUGUGAAGGAGUGGUUUUACUCAAGCAGUGGGAACAAGGAAACACUUGGUUAGGUAAAACCAGAAA